Stegodyphus dumicola is the source of this 1077-nucleotide long non-coding RNA. The record is from RefSeq and is a predicted model, not a curated record. NCBI's taxonomy places the organism in Eukaryota, Metazoa, Arthropoda, Arachnida, Araneae, Eresidae.
GCAAAAUUCAUAAUCAGAUACAUUGUGAUAAUAUUGAAUUUUUCUGUGACUAGGCGCACUUUGCAGGUUCAGUAAAUAAUGGGAAACUAUUAAAUGCUGAUAUUUCGAUUUCAAAAUGCUUUUUAAUGUAAUUUAUUAUUUUAUGGAAAGACACGAAUAGCUACCUGCAGCUAAUAGUCUAGUCUUAUUUAUUGUACUGUAUCUACAAAUAAUCAGUAAUUGUAGCAGAAGCAGUCUUUGUAAUCUCUUUUGCAUCAACAGUUUAAUAAAUUCCUAUCCAUCUUUCUGUGAUGAGUAGUUUCAGGUUUAUAGCAAAUCUUGGAAAACACAUUAAGAGAUUGAAGCGUUUGGCACUCUGGAUUUUUCAGGUCUUAAUUUAAAGUAGAAAAGAAAACUUUCUGCCAUGUUCCGUUUAUCCUUUGAUUCAUACAUUUUAACCCAUUGUAUACACAUUUACAGAGGCUACAUUCGUCGUUCUACAAAUAAAGAGAAAGUUAUGCCGUUGGAAACACGUGGGAAGGAACUUGACUACUGUUGGCCUUGAACUUGACAGAGGCGGUAAACAAGUCAACGACCUCCUCUAAGGCGAGAAUGAAACUGCCAUGUAUACAUUUAACUGUACGAGGUUAUUUCUUCUUUCUAUUUCUAUUAAAAAGCAUUUAUAUUAUUUGCCGAAAUAUUAAAUAUGAUCGGCAGAAAGAUUCUUCUGUUUAUCGUAUUGCUUCUAAAAACAAUGACCGAUGACGGUCUCGAAAUUCUCUUUUUCACGAGCAUAAUAUUAAAAGAGCUUUCAUACAUGAUCUGUUCUUUCAGUACGAAGAGCUGUUUAACACUUUUCUCAAUUAAACAAUUCAGUUAUACCUGUCGCAUGUUCGUUAAUGCUUUCCAUCUGACUGCUUCAAGAAUUUUCCGUCUGUUUCGUAUCUUCAGGUGGUUUUCAAACUCGCCUCACUCAUGGUGUUUGUCGCUAUGGUCAAAAGUUUGUCACCGAUUUUUAGAUGACUUCUUGGUAAGCUAUCGAGUUCAAAUUUUGUACAUGUAUACUGCUUGAGAAUAUAAUAAAAAGUAUUAAUUGGA